GACAAACCAAAUCAAAAUCAGAACCCAGACU
RNAcentral lists this non-coding RNA (31 nucleotides) under Rattus norvegicus (Norway rat). The record is from RNAcentral. Lineage: Eukaryota; Metazoa; Chordata; Mammalia; Rodentia; Muridae.